UCAUCAGGUGGGAUAAUCUUUUCCUGUUCUUCCUUUUGGAGGACAGAUUAUAACAUGAUUAUUGGAGAUGCACGAAACAUGAUCAACAUCUAUACAUAAUCACGACUUGAAACAUCCUGAUUGCUCCUAUCUCAU
Gorilla gorilla gorilla (western lowland gorilla) is the source of this 135-nucleotide small nucleolar RNA. Its record names the gene U8. It matches the Rfam family "U8 small nucleolar RNA". Rfam says of the family: U8 is a member of the C/D class of snoRNA which contain the C (UGAUGA) and D (CUGA) box motifs. NCBI's taxonomy places the organism in Eukaryota, Metazoa, Chordata, Mammalia, Primates, Hominidae. The record is from Ensembl.